This is a long non-coding RNA of Dendronephthya gigantea, 428 nucleotides long. RefSeq lists it as uncharacterized. The record is from RefSeq and is a predicted model, not a curated record. The transcript has 3 exons. NCBI's taxonomy places the organism in Eukaryota, Metazoa, Cnidaria, Anthozoa, Malacalcyonacea, Nephtheidae.
UCUUCUUCAUUCUCAUAAUUCUUUCUUAUCUCUUAUACUUAGAUUCCAGAUGCAUUUUCCCUGGCGUUCAUCAGCUGGAGAGAAAGUUUCACUCACAUCGCGUAUCCUACGCUCUGGUCUUCGCUAAGUUACUUUUUACUCUUCUCUCUGGAUUCGGAAGCAUGUCUGGGAUGGUGUUCGUUGUCGUGCUGUUUGUGAGAGAAAUAACCUCGAUGAAACACGAGUAUGCCACAGGUCUGGUAUGUUUCGUGUCGUGUAUAAUGGUCUGGUAUUUGUUAAGAAAUAGCGGACUAUAUUUACUGAACCUGUUUCACGGCUACGCUUCAUGUUCAAUACAAUGCAUCGCGCUGCUUGAAAUUCUGUCAGUUAUCUGUUUUUUUGGUAGAAAAAAAGCAUAAUUGGUUGGUUUUUGGAACAUUGAAAAAUCG